RNAcentral lists this long non-coding RNA (813 nucleotides) under Homo sapiens (human). Its description in RNAcentral is "HSALNT0213080". Lineage: Eukaryota; Metazoa; Chordata; Mammalia; Primates; Hominidae. The record is from RNAcentral.
ACUGACGGCCGGCCGGCUUCCCGGAACUGGAAGGUUACAUUGAUUACCCACCUAGUACAACAUCUUACGGGAAGAGCAUAGUAUUUCCUAGAGGAAUAUGAACAUAACAGGAAGGUAUCAUUGGCUCUGAAUUAAAUUUGAACUUGUCCCCUGAAUAGCUACAGGUUUUGGAAGCUGAAUCAAUGUUAUCAGAUGAGUUAGAAUCCAAACCAGAGUUACUAAACCAAGGAGAUUUAACUGAAAGACGGACAUGAGCGUGGGUGCUGACUCCUGGAAGAGCAACUCUAUCUGAUCUCAAAAUGCGUAUACUGGGAACAGGAUGCCUUAGCCCACAACAGAACCAGAAUGAAUCUUUGAAGGCACAAGACUCUGCUUUUGCCACUCUUCCUCUUUCCUGGUAUAGAAGAUGGAUGUAGGAGAGCUUCUUUUCUAACUACCAUCUGAUCAGACAAGGAAUGAAGCAAUGACUGUGGGCUGGGAAACUGUACCUACCUCUCUUCCCACUGCAAAUUUCUGGGAUAGACCAAAAGUGAAUUUGAUUAUGUGUUGGCUGAAGUUCUUCAUUCUGACUGUUGAGGGGAGGUUUUCCUUUGAAGAGUUUUCAUCCCAGACUCAGCUGUCUUUUCACAUGGAUGAAAUAAUUCCUGCUACCAACAACAGAGCUUCACCAGGAAGUUGAGUUUUCAAGAUGCCUUGUUGCUUUGAAGAAGGGAGUGAUGUCAAUUCUCUUGUUACAUUCUCCCUUUAGCAACCUGAGUAAGAGACUCUCUGCCACUGGGCUGCAAAAAAAUAAAUUACUUGAAUCUCCCCUUG